This 301-nucleotide ribosomal RNA is filed under the name uncultured bacterium. Its description in RNAcentral is "partial 16S ribosomal RNA". It matches the Rfam family "Bacterial small subunit ribosomal RNA", at positions 509 to 807 of the family's 1533-position model. The record is from RNAcentral.
CAGCCGCCACGGGAAUACGAAGGGGGCUAGCGUUGUUCGGAUUUACUGGGCGUAAAGGGCGCGUAGGCGGACUGAUAAGUCAGGGGUGAAAUCCCAAGGCUCAACCUUGGAACUGCCUUUGAUACUGUUUGUCUUGAGUUCGAGAGAGGUAAGUGGAACUGCGAGUGUAGAGGUGAAAUUCGUAGAUAUUCGCAAGAACACCAGUGGCGAAGGCGGCUUACUGGCUCGAUACUGACGCUGAGGCGCGAAAGCGUGGGGAGCGAACAGGAUUAGAUACCCCCGUAGUCCCUGUCUCUUAUAC